GCACAAGCGGUGGAUGAUGUGGUUUAAUUCGAUGCAACGACGAAAACCUUACCCACCUUUGACAUGUACGGAACCCUUUAGAGAUAGAGGGGUGCUCGAAAGAGAGCCGUAACACAGGUGCUGCAUGGCUGUCGUCAGCUCGUGUCGUGAGAUGUUGGGUUAAGUCCCGCAACGAGCGCAACCCUUGUCAUUAGUUGCUACAUUCAGUUGGGCACUCUAAUGAGACUGCCGGUGACAAGCCGGAGGAAGGUGGGGAUGACGUCAAGUCCUCAUGGCCCUUAUAGGUGGGGCUACACACGUCAUACAAUGGCUGGUACAAAGGGUUGCCAACCCGCGAGGGGGAGCCAAUCCCAUAAAGCCAGUCGUAGUCCGGAUCGUAGUCUGCAACUCGACUACGUGAAGUCGGAAUCGCUAGUAAUCGUGGAUCAGAAUGUCACGGUGAAUACGUUCCCGGGUCUU
Molecule: ribosomal RNA, 459 nt
Filed under: uncultured Rhodoferax sp.
Lineage: Bacteria; Pseudomonadati; Pseudomonadota; Betaproteobacteria; Burkholderiales; Comamonadaceae
Description: bacterial SSU rRNA
Rfam family: Bacterial small subunit ribosomal RNA
Source: RNAcentral